This 64-nucleotide transfer RNA is filed under the name human gut metagenome. It matches the Rfam family "tRNA", at positions 6 to 65 of the family's 71-position model. Rfam says of the family: Transfer RNA (tRNA) molecules are approximately 80 nucleotides in length. The record is from RNAcentral. RNAcentral also lists the same sequence under 1 other name.
AGUAGCUCAGCUGGAUAGAGCAUCGGCCUUCUAAGCCGAGGGUCGGGGGUUCGAGUCCCUCCUG